Sciurus carolinensis (gray squirrel) is the source of this 1549-nucleotide non-coding RNA. The record is from the annotation of a RefSeq genome assembly. NCBI's taxonomy places the organism in Eukaryota, Metazoa, Chordata, Mammalia, Rodentia, Sciuridae.
CAUAGCCUGGCAGUCACAUGUCACUGCUGCAAGCUGUCAGCUUCCUCUCCUUCUGGACUGUUGGAAUUGGAUUGUCAAAAUUGGAGCAGUCUGAUGUAUCUGUUUCUGCAGAAAUAAAGAAAAGUGUUAACAUAAAUUGCAAGAUAUCCAGCACACAAUUUUGAAACUGAAGUCAUUCACUGGUACUGGAAGAAACGAAUAAGACUUUUGAGCAUCUGAUUCAAGUUACCUCAACAAAAUCCGCAGCUCGAGGUCCCUUGAAUGGGAUGAACAAUAAAAUUGAGGCAAAAAAGUAUUCUCAAACUCUGUCUUCAGUUCUUACCAUAUAUUCCAUACAAAAAGAAGAUGCAGCCAUGUACUACUGUGCAGGGUGGUAAUAUAGCCAAGACUGGAUGAAGAUAUUUGGAGAAGGUACAAAGCUCAUAGUUUCUCCCUCCGAUAAAAUCUCUGAUGCAGACCUUUCCCCCAAGCCCACGAUUUUUCUUCCUUCAGUUUCUGAAAUAAAUCUCCACAAGACUGGGACACAUCUUUGUCUUCUUGAAAACUUCUCCCCUGAUGUUAUUAAGGUAUUUUGGAAAGAAAAGGGUGGUGAUAGGAUUCUGGAAUCCCAGCAGGGAGAUACCAUGAAGACUAACGACACAUACAUGAAGAUGAGCUGGCUAACUGUGACUGAAGAGUCAAUGGAUAAAGAGCACAGGUGUAUCGUCAAACAUGAGAAUAACAAAGGAGGAGGCAAUCAAGAGGUUCUCUUUCCUGCAAUAAAGAAAGAUGUCACCAGGACUGAAGCUUGCUCUAAAGAUGAAAACAGUACACUGAGACUGCAGCUCACAAAUACCUCUGCCUACUACACCUACCUCCUCCUGCUCCUCAAGAGUGGGAUCUACUUGGCCAUCGUCACCUAUUGUCUGCUAAGAAGAACAGCUGUCUGUAGCCAUGGGAAGAGCUCCUAACAGAGAGUGGAACAACAGGGUCAUGUUGUGUUCUUCGUUUAUUGUCUAGUAGAGUGUCUGCUGAGGAGCUGUGUGGGCUUGCUUGCUAAACGUGGGCUUCUUAAUUUCUUAUGUGUAUUACUUUGUCCUUACUGCAGGAGGGUUUCAAACUCACUCAGGUACUCAGGAACUUCACUGUAACAACAAAAACUAACCUAUGGUGGCCCCUAAUUCCUUUGUCUCCACAGUCCCCAACAGCCCCUCCAGCCAGCCCAAAUCAUGGCAGCUUUGGUGAGGACAGAGUGCUGCUUCUAGUCAUGCCCUUAGUGCCUUUUAAGCAGAGACCAUCUUAAAGUGUUCCAUUCUAAACACCCCAAAGCAGCUUCUUUGCUACUUUAUUUUAGACUUUUCAUAAUAGACACAAUAUAUUUUUUAAAACUUGAAUGUCUACAUUUGUUCAUGCAUAUUUCAAUAUGAUGAAAUUGAAUUGAAAGUCCACUGCGAGAAACAAAUAAUAAACAUUCUAAUUGGGGUGAGAUGAAAUCAUAAGGUAUUUUCGAUUUACAUUUUUCUUAUUACUAGAGAUGUUGAACAUUUUUUCAUAUAUCUGUUGAUUGCUU